ACUUAGACAGACUAUGAAGAGAUACAUAGGGUGAGAAACGGAGGCCUUCAGCCAACAGCUGGGAGAAGCUGAGUCCCAUCAGCCAUUCAAAAGACUGCAGCCCCAGCCAAGAGUUUGAUGUAACCUCAGGAGAGACCCUGAGCCAGAACCACCUAGAAAAGCUGGGAUACAUGAAGACUGCCAUCCCUUGAGUCACUUGCCCUGUAGCUGCCACUGUUGGAAAAGGGCUUGCUUCUGUGUCCUUGUGCCCACUUUGAAAAUCCCUGGGAAGUCCUUGGAGUCAGAUGAGCAGGCCUCCGCCACUCUGCCAAAAAGUCUGUUCAGAAGUUUCACAUCACUAGAGAAGAGAGAAGAAGGACAUUUGUACUGGGAGGAGUCGACCGGUCCCAGUAAGGAGAAAGUAGCUACAGCGUCAUGGGUGAGCUGGGUCCCCCAAAAAGGAACUUUAAGGGAAUGGACUGAAUCAAGUCUGAGAUGUCCCCAAAGCAAGACCAAAGAACUGAGGAAGAGAAGCAUUCAUCAGAAACCAAAAUUCAGCUACAAGUGAGCAUCCAGAUGGAGGUAUUAUGAAGAGGAACUGAGACUGAGGGCAAAAGGUGCCAGCCAGAAUCCUGGAUAGGAGAGCAAGAACCAGGACCUCAUUUAAGAGACAACCUGCUUAAGGCAGAGUAAGCACAAAUGGGCACUCAACAUCAAUGAAGUAACAGCAAAGUCACAUAAUAAAAGCAUGGAAUUAAGACAAGCUGAAGAUUCGGAUGCAAUAAAACAACCACCCAUUAUUA
Molecule: long non-coding RNA, 782 nt
Filed under: Homo sapiens (human)
Lineage: Eukaryota; Metazoa; Chordata; Mammalia; Primates; Hominidae
Description: uncharacterized LOC107986178, transcript variant 3 (LOC107986178)
Source: RNAcentral